RNAcentral lists this ribosomal RNA (253 nucleotides) under uncultured bacterium. RNAcentral describes it as "partial 16S ribosomal RNA". It matches the Rfam family "Bacterial small subunit ribosomal RNA", at positions 524 to 776 of the family's 1533-position model. The record is from RNAcentral.
UACGUAGGGGGCUAGCGUUGUCCGGAAUCAUUGGGCGUAAAGCGCGUGUAGGCGGCCCGGUAAGUCCGCUGUGAAAGUCGGGGGCUCAACCCUCGAAAGCCGGUGGAUACUGUCGGGCUCGAGUACGGGAGAGGCGAGUGGAAUUCCUGGUGUAGCGGUGAAAUGCGCAGAUAUCAGGAGGAACACCGAUUGCGAAGGCAGCUCGCUGGAACGUUACUGACGCUGUGACGCGAAAGCGUGGGGAGCAAACAGG